This 655-nucleotide long non-coding RNA is filed under the name Brassica napus (rape). Its description in RNAcentral is "long non-coding RNA (BNAP_LNC026416)". Lineage: Eukaryota; Viridiplantae; Streptophyta; Magnoliopsida; Brassicales; Brassicaceae. The record is from RNAcentral.
AAUAAAUGCAAGGCUAUAUUCCCUAAGUUCACUCAUGAAAACCAGGAAUAGUCCAGGGCCACAAUGAACAUAAUAGAGAACUAAGUUCUACGAGAAAAUGAAGCUACGUUACGCAUGUUGUCUCGGUCUACAUAAAACACUGGUUGGUUCAAGACAUCAUGUUCACCUUCUGGUAAAGUAAACCCGACAGAUAUUAACUAUGAGUGGUUCAAGGCUUAAAAAUGCCACCAACUCAAACACAGUGAAUUUUCACAAACACUCUCGAUAAGUCUGUCUAGUCUAGUCAGGAUUAGAAUAAGUAUAGUUUUUAGAGUCUAUCGAGUCUGCAUUCAGUCUACAUAUAUUUACAAGAGUAAUUUCUAUUCAUGUGGGGGAUUGUUGGGCCUAAUUAUUAAGCCUAAUGGUUCAAAUAAUAUAUGGCAAAAUGUGAAAAUGAAAUGGGCCUACGGGUUCUUAUAAAAAGCCUUGUUGGUUUUAAUGAAAUGAAGUUAACAACAUCCCACAUCGGUUGGGAGAGUUGAUUUUAAGGAGUAUAUAUAUGUCUUCAUGACAUGAGAGGUUAAACGGCUCGGCUCGGCGUGGGCUUGGGUCUUGGGUCUUGGGUCUUGGGUCUUGGUGGAGGGCCUCCGGCCCAAUAAGACUAUUAUUUUUGGAC